GAGAGACUCAGGUAGUUAGCGUCAUUGAACAGAAUACCUGUGGGGCAAAAGCUGGAGAUAUCAGCAGCGCGUCUGCAGCAGCUGUGCUGGCCAUUGGCUUCAUCAGUGGGAAAACCUGAGUUUCUGUGCAGGGCGGGUCUCUGUGAAUCACGCUCUCUCCCACUACGUGUCUGCUAAUAAUAGCCUCUGCUUUCCUUCCUAGCUCGUAGCCGGCUGUAUUGACAUUUCAGCUUUGCUGGUGGGGUGGGGUGAAACUGAAGCAGAACCUUCGUGAGGGGUCCCAGGAAGCUGAGGACGCUGUCACUCACCCCACUCUUAAGGAAGGGAUAUUGUGUUUUCUUACAAAAUGAAAGUUUGUGGCAACCCUGUGUGGAGCAGGUCUGUCGGCACCAUUUUUCCAACAGCAUUAUUUUUAAUUAAGAACAAUGACGAAGGAUCGAGGUAAAUGAAUGAAGACACUGGCGUUCACUGGGAUGGAGGGUAGGAGUUUACCUCAGAAGAUGAUCUUGGAAAAUCACUUCUAUGGUAUUCUUGCUAAAAUUGCUAAAAAUGCAUAGCCUGAAUUCAGUCAAGAUCAGACAAACCCAAAUUGAGGGACAUUCUUAAAAAAUACCUGGGCAGGUACUCUUCAAAUAUGUCAAGGUCAUGGAAGACAAAGACGUUGAAAGUCUGUUCCAUAUUAAGGGAGACAAAACAACUACAUGCAACAUGUGGACCUGGACUGGAUUCUGGACCAGAAAAAGAACAUUAGUCAGACAAUUGAUGAACUUAAGGACUGUGGAUCAGAUAACAGUAUUUUGCUAGUGUUAACUUUCUUAUUUUUAUCAUUUCUCUGUGGCAUGAAAAAUGAUAACAUUUGGGUAAACUAGGGGAUGGGUAUUCAGGAAUUCUUUGUGGUAUUUUUCUCACUUUUUUUGUUUUUUGCAAGUCGAAAGUUAUUUCAAAAUUAAAAGUUGAAAAAUGGAAAAAAAAAAA
Molecule: long non-coding RNA, 975 nt
Organism: Orcinus orca (killer whale)
Lineage: Eukaryota; Metazoa; Chordata; Mammalia; Artiodactyla; Delphinidae
Exons: 3
Source: RefSeq, a predicted model, not a curated record